This is a long non-coding RNA of Panicum virgatum (switchgrass), 1349 nucleotides long. RefSeq lists it as uncharacterized. The record is from RefSeq and is a predicted model, not a curated record. Lineage: Eukaryota; Viridiplantae; Streptophyta; Magnoliopsida; Poales; Poaceae. The transcript has 2 exons.
UUUGCCGUGUUCUCAACUUCUCAUUGUUGAUAGCAUAAGUCUGUACGGGGUUCCGCUGACAUGAAAUUGCUCCACUGGUUGGGUGUGGAAGGCGUCGGCCUGGCCCCUAGGUCCUGCCAUUAGGCCCUGCACGCUUCUCCGGAACAGGAUGCUGAUUGAUCCUGACAGAGGUAGGUUCAACUAUUUGUUUUCACCAGUAUUGUGCAUUGAUAUUGAUGAUUGUUUGUCUGUAUGGUUUUGUUCAUGUGUUCCGUGGGAUAUGUCAGAUAGUUAUCUGUUAUCGAUACAUGUUGUGCGACAUUUGCACAGGUUCAUAAGAGGAGUUUUGGUCAGAGUUCGAGUUGUAUGCAGCGGAUAUGUUGGUAGGAGUAGUUAUUAAUGUAGCUUUAGUUGGCAUGUUGGCACCAUACGUUCGAUUCAGUGGUGGAUCUGGAUCACAAGGUCUCCUUGGCCGUGUAAGGUAUGCUUAUGAUGCCCUCCCAAAUUUACUUUGCUUUGCUUACGGAUGGUGGUAUACAUAUCUGGAUCAGAAGGUCUCCUUGGCCGUGUAAGGUAUGCUUAGGAUGCCCUCCCAAAUUUACUUUGCUUUGCUUACGGAUGGUGGUAUACAUCUAACAAUUUUUUUAAUUUGUGUAGGAUUAUACAUGGUGCAUCUAUUAUUGGAUCUUGGGUAAAAUUUUUCUUUAACCAUGGUUGCUUGCAGUUUAAAUGUGAUCGCUUUAUCGGAUUACAGAAGCUUAAGAUAUUAUUUCAUUCUCAAAUAGUCCACCUUGUCAUCAGCUUUAUCGGAUUACAGAAGCACGAGGGUUUGUUAUUUUCCUUCAUGUAAUAUUUCUUUAUUUUUCUUUACAUAUGCUCUGGUACCCAAAAGUAUAAUUGCGGAUUGUUAACACAUCAUUGCCACUGAAGGAUUCAUUUUCAAGUUUCUUGUGUUUGAUCAAUCCAACAAUUUGGCGCAGAGUUGGCUAAUCUUAUCAAGCAAUGACAAGCCUUGUAUCUGUAAGCUGUCCAACCUAGCCUGAAGCUCUUGGUCAAGGUGAAUUGAGCAGAAGGUUGCUCCAUUUCCAGCACCUUGCAUACGAUUUAAGAGUGCAAUAUUCCAUUGUCCACUUCAAGUAUCAAUUGUGCUACCAUUGUGUACAAGUGGGCUAAUGAAGAAGAUUUUGGUGUACCCAGAGGCUGAGUGAGAAAUAUGGAUGGAUCUUGCUACAUUUUUAGACCAUAUUUUAAAUUCUGGUGUUGUAUCAAUUAAACCAUAUUUUAAAUUCCUGGACCAAGUUCAUACGUUGGCUUUGGUAUAAUAUUUUCUUGAACUAUUAUUAUUGUUAAUUUUAUUAUGUUAAUAUGUC